This 468-nucleotide ribosomal RNA is filed under the name uncultured bacterium. RNAcentral's name for it is "partial 16S ribosomal RNA". It matches the Rfam family "Bacterial small subunit ribosomal RNA", at positions 28 to 507 of the family's 1533-position model. The record is from RNAcentral.
GACGAACGCUGGCGGCGUGCUUAACACAUGCAAGUCGAACGGAAAGGCCCUGCUUUUGUGGGGUGCUCGAGUGGCGAACGGGUGAGUAACACGUGAGUCACCUGCCCUUGACUUUGGGAUAACUUCAGGAAACUGCGGCUAAUACCGGAUAGGAGCUCCUGCUGCAUGGUGGGGUUUGGAAAGUUUCGGCGGUUGGGGAUGGACUCGCGGCUUAUCAGCUUGUUGGUGGGGUAGUGGCGUACCAAGGCUUUGACGGGUAGCCGGCCUGAGAGGGUGACCGGCCACAAUGGGACUGAGAUACGGCCCAGACUCCUACGGGAGGCAGCAGUGGGGAAUAUUGCACAAUGGGCGGAAGCCUGAUGCAGCAACGCCGCGUGCGGGAUGACGGCCUUCGGGUUGUAAACCGCUUUCGCCUGUGACGAAGCGUGAGUGACGGUAAUGGGUAAAGAAGCACCGGCUAACUACGUG